This 263-nucleotide ribosomal RNA is filed under the name uncultured bacterium. Its description in RNAcentral is "partial 16S ribosomal RNA". It matches the Rfam family "Bacterial small subunit ribosomal RNA", at positions 793 to 1055 of the family's 1533-position model. The record is from RNAcentral.
GUCCACGCCGUAAACGAUGGAUGCUAGCCGUUGGUAAGCAUGCUUAUCAGUGGCGCAGCUAACGCAUUAAGCGUCCCGCCUGGGGAGUACGGCCGCAAGGUUGAAACUCAAAGGAAUUGACGGGGGCCCCGCACAAGCGGUGGAGCAUGUGGUUUAAUUCGACGCAACGCGCAGAACCUUACCAGGGUUUGACAUCCCGCGCUAAACCCAGAGAUGGGUGGUUCCCGCAAGGGACGCGGAGACAGGUGCUGCAUGGCUGUCGU